Molecule: long non-coding RNA, 2944 nt
Filed under: Salmo salar (Atlantic salmon)
Lineage: Eukaryota; Metazoa; Chordata; Actinopteri; Salmoniformes; Salmonidae
Description: lncRNA (ENSSSAG00000095550.1)
Source: RNAcentral
CCAACCUAUGGCUGGAAUGGAUUCAGUAUACAGCUAGAUCAGUAGCUAAAGAAGAAUGUUAUGGCUGCGCAACAGCCAAAACCUCAGUUGACAACCAUCCCCUUUCCACUCGAUGGAAUUGAUUUACCAAGGGGAAUGGCCUGUAUGGUAAAGCUGGUCAUGAAGGCAGGGAAGCCAGACAGGGAAAGCCAGACAAUAACAGUUGUACUGAUCUGCAUUAUCUGUAUCCUAUGUGCCCAUUAGAUCCAGACUUCCCCCUUUCACAGUCGCAGGAGGAGACUAUUAUUGUAUGGCUUGACACAAUAUACACGGACGGGAUGUAGGGGAAGUGAGAACACGCAAAAGAACAGAGAGGGAGAAGGAGUGUUCCGUCUGGGUCCUUAGACGAUAGAGCUUACAUUGAUAGCAUUGGGGUUCCAAGGGGGGUGCCUAAUGAGUUUAAAGCUAGGAAUCAGAUAUUGGCUGGAUUAGAAUCAAGCAUCUUCUGGUGGUCAACCCUCAAUAGAAAUGUAGAUUGGAUAAAUUAUAUUUAUUAUAACCAACAGCAGUUCAUCAACUAUACUAGAGAUGCAAUAAAAGGAUUAGCAGAACAGACAGAGGCAACUAGUUUGAUGGCUUGGCAGAAUAGAAUAGCAUUGGAUAUGUUACUGGUGGAGAAGGGUGGUGUGUGUGUGUGAUAUUCGGAUCAAUGUGCUGUACUUUCAUCCCAAAUAACACAGCUCCAGAUGGAUCAGUGGCCAAGGCCCUGGCAGGUUUAACCACAUUGGCUAACGAGUUAGUAGAGAACUCUGGGGUGGAUACCUCACUGACUGGGUGAUGCGAUGGUAUGUUUGGAAAAAUUGAAAAAUGUUAUAAUCACUGUGUUGUGGGCUUCUUUCACCGGUAUGAGUGUGUUGAUAUUGUGUGAUUGAUGAAUAUAUGCCAAGUAUGAAAGUUUUAAUCACCAGAAUUCUGGAGAGAUUGAUAACGGAGCAGAUGGUGAGGUACGGAUCGAGUCCAAGUUCAGACCUGUGGGACGGCUGCCUGUAUAAUCCCUUGCUUAAGAAAGUCUCUUACAGAUGUUGUCAGAGCUGCAGGACCAGUAUGAGGCUACGGGUGCGGACAGGAUAAAGUAAUGGGCGUGCGUCUUUUGUGUUUUCUAUGUUCAUCUCAAACGUUCCCUCUGCUGUGUCUCACACAGAUAUGUCAGGAGCAUGAGGACGCAGACACCCCGUUAUCCUGGGAGUGCGAUGGCCGCCUUGAUCGACUACAUUCAGCGCAGAGACUAGGAGGGGGUAGCUGCUGUGUCCAGGCCCGCCGCAGCCAGCACCACCCCCGCCAGCACCACCCGGCCCAAGAGCUUCUUGGUCCUGCGAUCUCUGCAUUCCUUUCAAGGCGCUCUCUCGCCCAGGUGAACUGCAGGCGAAGAUGAAGAAAUAGGGGUGUCUUUCCCUCGACCAGCACUGCCACCAACAGAUCAAUCGGACGCAGAGCUGGUCAAAGCUGCUGCUGACAUAGACACAUUGUCUGGUGAAUGGAAAGAGUGGACAGAUCGAGAGCGUGGAUCUGCCGAACAUCAGAAGUCAUUCACAGAACCACAGAACUACUUCAUUUCUAUACUUAAUUAGAAUUCCAGGGGAACUCAUUGGGGUCGACUACCUCUUCUCCCAGACCCAUGGUGACCAGAGGCUGGAGUCCAACCUCGGUAAGGACCCGGAUGUCCCAGACGGGACACCUGAUGUAUUUGAGGGAGGAGAGGGAGAGGAGGAGGACCUGAGCGAGCUUGAGGAGGAGGAGGAUGACCCCACCAUGUCCUUGCCCGCCCUCGAUGACAGUCUCCCAGCAGUACCUCCACUCAGGAAGGCCACUCCACCGCUCACUAAGCCCACUCAACCCAACUCAUCCCAGGUACCUGUCGUCACACCCCCUGAUGACACUAUGGAGGUGGACACUACACCAGCUGCCAGUCAGGACCUGGAGGAUGACGAGUACAUAGGACCUGAUGGGGUUAGUGGAUACCAGCACGCGGUCCUCCUUGCCAAGAGUCUGGUGAGGCUCCUGGAGGGGCCAUGGAUCUCUAAUAGGCAAAUAGAGGAGAUCAUGGCUCUCUGGGGAAAUCUCCCGGAAAGAGACAAGGCGGCUGUCUCCUACCCAGAGAGGUUCCGGGACCGAGUCCUGCAGGGGCGCUUUAAAAAUUCCAAGAACUCCACUGUGAAGGGGGAAGAGAGUAUGAAGCGGAGUUGGUCCUCAAGGCCACACCCAAGGCAGUAAAAGUGACAGCUGACGGCCCCCCUGCUUUUGGUGCUCAGGGCCCUCUUGUGAGGGCUAAGAAGUGGAAGGAAGUGGAGGCAGAGGCUCGAGCCUGCGUCGUCUCCGAGGGAGGUGACCCCGGUGCAGAGACGGUCAUCCUGAGCCGGUGCACGGUUCAGUUCGGCAAGUACUGGGGUCAGACCUUCAAGUGGAUGAUGGAGAACGACGUGGGCUACAUGGUGCACGUUGUGACGUUGCAUCAGAAGGAGAGGGAGCGAGAGCGCAGCGUUUCCCAGCAUCCCCUGAUGGCCAACAAGGACGCCUUGACUCGCUACUCGUGCGCCUAUCCGGCGUUCGUCGAGAUGGUCAGGUUCAACCGGACGCACGAGGAAGCUAAAGUCCUGUCCUCCCAGCCAGGCCAGGAGGGCAAGGCCCUUGUUGGAUAUGUCAGGAGCAUGAGGACGCAGACACCCCGUUAUCCUGGGAGUGCGAUGGCCGCCUUGAUUAGCCACAUCCAACGCAGAGACCAGGAGGGGGUAGCUGCUGUGGCCAGGCCCGCCGCAGCCAGCACCACCCCCGCCAGCACCACCCGGCCCAAGAGUGCGGCUACGCAUCUUGGUCCUGCGAUCUCUGCGUUCCUUUCAAGGCGCUCUCUCGCCCAGGUGAACUGCAGGCGAAGAUGAAGAAUCUUAUUGCUUCUCAGCCUGCAGUUCAA